This is a small nucleolar RNA of Diospyros lotus (date-plum), 107 nucleotides long. The record is from RefSeq and is a predicted model, not a curated record. NCBI's taxonomy places the organism in Eukaryota, Viridiplantae, Streptophyta, Magnoliopsida, Ericales, Ebenaceae.
AAACCAUGGCCUGGACACUUCCUCAUCAACUCUUUGAACCGUUCUCAUGCCUCAUGAAAGUUUUUUGAUUCGGCUUGUUGGAAGGUUGAAAUUUCAUGCUUGAGCUU